Long non-coding RNA from Brachypodium distachyon (stiff brome), 1493 nucleotides. RefSeq lists it as uncharacterized. The record is from RefSeq and is a predicted model, not a curated record. Lineage: Eukaryota; Viridiplantae; Streptophyta; Magnoliopsida; Poales; Poaceae. The transcript is spliced from 2 exons.
CCAUUGGCUUCAGCAGCCCUAGCCCCUGAGGACACACAUACACACACCAUGGUGCAGCACAACUUGGUUAAUCCGACUAGCAAGCGCAGACGAUCGGUCAACAGACGUACACACGCCAAGCUUAACAGCUAGAGCAACCGAGCAAGCAGCAAGAACGAACAAGAGAGAACAAAAACAACAUGUGGGCGCGUGUGCAACAAAUGGGGGCGUGGUGUGGGGUGUGUUAAGAAUCUCUACGGUGCAACAAAGAACCAAGCAAAAGGAUACAAAGGACCGGCGAUUAAGAGGAAGGAGAAAAGGCAAUUAAAGCAGGAGGAAAGGAAAAGGUAAAGAUGAAAGAGAAACACACACCACCACCACCACCACCGCACAAAACACAACUUUGCUCGUUUGCUGUUGUAGGGUUGUGUACUACUUCUGCUGCUGCUGCUUGCUGCCACACAUCACCAGGACAUGGCUACUCUUUUGAUGCAAGGAGAGAGAGAAGAAAAGCUGAUUGAGAAAAGAAGGCGAGGGGAUAAAAAGGAUGAUAGAGAGGAAAGGGGGAUUAGAAAGAAGGGAAAAGAAAGGUGAUGGUCUGUGUGUUUGCUGCUUUCAUGGAUCAAAAGGGGACGGCAGCAGGGGGAUUAAAGCUCACAGAGGCCUCACCUUAAAGCCUAUGGAGGAGAGGGCCGUGCUGAUUAUGAUGCAGAUGCAUAGAUCUACACAACAUAUAAAGGAAGAACAAGCCCCAAGAGGAAACCAAAGAGAGAUCAUGGUCACAUGAUCAAAGAAGUCGUGCACCCAGAACCAAGGCACGAAGAGAGGAACAUGGACAGCUAGCAGCAAGAUCAAGGAGAACAAAAUCCAAAUUCCGACAAGUGUGCUGCAGAAAACUGAUCUUUGCAAAGAGAUUUACCUGGUGCCAGUGGGCUGCAUCCAUGCAAGGACGACUCCAAUUUGCUUCCCAACAAUUCUUGCUCGAUCCAGAUGUCUAAAUACGAGGAGAAGGGCGGCCGGAAGAAGAAGAGGAGCUCCUGCUACUUCAGGAGAACUGCUCGUCCUUCACACGCAUGAGACCGGAGGCUACGAGUGGUCAACCGGCCGGGAUUCCUUACGGAGGCGAAGGGGAGGAAGCCCAGGGAAUGGCGGUUUGUGGGGCCUCGAAACGUGCUUAGGACGGCGCGGCACGUGCCGGACACGGCGUUUCUUAAUCCCCCGGGCGUCACUGUUUGGUGCAACCUUUCGCGUUUCUUUUCCUUUUUCUUUUUCUUUUCUCGUUAUAUAUGCGACAUGGCACCUGCCUGUUUGUUUCAAGUGUACAGUAAUUUUCUUUUGGACGCCGAAGCACCAACAAUUGAACUACCAAAGUCAUGUUCCGUAAACAAAAAUAUAUCUAGGUCAUUGUAUCGCCAAAUUGAGCUAGGAGAUUUAUAUAUGGCUUCAAGGUGUGUUUGUGUAAAGUUCACAAAAUACCAUUACAAAGGAAAUGGAUGAGCAUAUAUGUGUCAGAA